RNAcentral lists this ribosomal RNA (445 nucleotides) under uncultured bacterium. Its description in RNAcentral is "SSU rRNA". It matches the Rfam family "Bacterial small subunit ribosomal RNA", at positions 26 to 518 of the family's 1533-position model. The record is from RNAcentral.
AGAGCGAACGCUGGCGGCAGGCCUAACACAUGCAAGUCGAGCGCCCGUAGCAAUACGGGAGCGGCAGACGGGAUAGUAACACGUGGGAACGCGCCCUUCGGUUCGGAAUAACUCAGGGAAACUUGAGCUAAUACCGAAUACGCCCUUACGGGGAAAGAUUUAUUGCCGAAGGAACGGCCCGCGUCCGAUUAGCUAGUUGGUGAGGUAAUGGCUCACCAAGGCUACGAUCGGUAGCUGGUCUGAGAGGAUGACCAGCAUCACUGGGACUGAGACACGGCCCAGACUCCUACGGGAGGCAGCAGUGGGGAAUAUUGGACAAUGGGCGCAAGCCUGAUCCAGCCAUGCCGCGUGGAUGAUGAAGGCCUUAGGGUUGUAAAGUCCUUUUAACGGGAGAUAAUGACGGUACCCGUAGAAUAAGCCCGGCUAACUUCGUGCCAGCAGCCGC